This 834-nucleotide ribosomal RNA is filed under the name Triticum aestivum (bread wheat). RNAcentral's name for it is "partial small subunit ribosomal RNA". The record is from RNAcentral. Lineage: Eukaryota; Viridiplantae; Streptophyta; Magnoliopsida; Poales; Poaceae.
AUGGCGGACGGCGGCGGCAGCGACUGGGAGGUGGUGUCGCUCACGGCCUCCACCUACGCAGCCUCACCAGGGCCAAUCCCAAUCUCGGCCCCCAUCCACGACGCCGCUGACAAAACAGAGUCGCCUCUUCUUCUCCUCCCAAAUCCUCCCGCUCCCCCUGCACAUUUCUUCAUGUCCCAGCACUUCAAUCUCCCACUUUUUACUACUACCCAUCUUGAGAAUAACAAUGGAAGCCAAGACCUAGAAUCCGGCCCUGCCGCUGCCGUGCCGGACGGCGAUGAUGCCGACCAUCUCAACACGCCCCGCCCAGAAAACCGCGACGGUGGGAGGGACGAUGUGCCCGGCAAUGGCCCGCACCUGCAGGUGGAAGGAGGAGGAGGGGGCGAGGAACUGCAGCAAACCACCAUGUUCUGCUCUCUUCCUAAAGACGCUACUGCAGGUGCAGAUGCUGCUGCUGAUGCCACGGAUGCCACUGCUGUCGGUUCUGCUACCCUGCCUGCUCCUGCUCCUGCUCCUGCCGCCACGGUGACGGUGGCUGCUCCUUCCGGCGGAGUGGGCGCUUGCAAUUGCAAUGCUGCUCAGGCUCAGGCGUGGUGGGAGAAGACCUUCUCCUUCCCGCGUCAAGAUGGGAGUGGGAAUGGCACACAGCCCCUCGCCUUCCGCUUCGUCUUCGUCGCCGGCAAACUGCAGCUUCAGGAAGAGGACCACCUCAGCGUCAGCCCUGUCCCUGAAUUCGGCCAAACCCAGAAGAUAAGCUGCACGGUGACUGAGCCGCUUGAUCAGGCCAAGGUCAGCAUGCUUGGUGGAGGAGGCCCUGUUGCUCAGCAGGGGUAA